UACGGAGGGUGCAAGCGUUAUCCGGAAUCACUGGGUUUAAAGGGUGCGUAGGCGGUGGCGUAAGUCAGUUGUGAAAUUCCCCGGCUUAACCGGCGGGACUGCGAUUGAUACUGCGUCACUUGAAUCAGGAUGAGGUAGGCGGAAUGUGACAUGUAGCGGUGAAAUGCUUAGAUAUGUCAUAGAACACCGAUUGCGAAGGCAGCUUGCUGGACCUGUAUUGACGCUGAGGCACGAAAGCGUGGGGAGCAAACAGG
This 254-nucleotide ribosomal RNA is filed under the name uncultured bacterium. RNAcentral describes it as "partial 16S ribosomal RNA". It matches the Rfam family "Bacterial small subunit ribosomal RNA", at positions 524 to 776 of the family's 1533-position model. The record is from RNAcentral. RNAcentral also lists the same sequence under 1 other name.